CCUACGGGAGGCAGCAGUGGGGAAUUUUGGACAAUGGGCGCAAGCCUGAUCCAGCAAUGCCGCGUGAGUGAAGAAGGCCUUCGGGUUGUAAAGCUCUUUUGUCAGGGAAGAAACGGUGGGGGCUAAUAUCUCCCACUAAUGACGGUACCUGAAGAAUAAGCACCGGCUAACUACGUGCCAGCAGCCGCGGUAAUACGUAGGGUGCAAGCGUUAAUCGGAAUUACUGGGCGUAAAGCGUGCGCAGGCGGUUUUGUAAGUUUGUCGUGAAAUCCCCGGGCUCAACCUGGGAAUGGCGAUGAAGACUGCAAGGCUAGAAUCUGGCAGAGGGGGGUAGAAUUCCACGUGUAGCAGUGAAAUGCGUAGAGAUGUGGAGGAACACCGAUGGCGAAGGCAGCCCCCUGGGUCAAGAUUGACGCUCAUGCACGAAAGCGUGGGGAGCAAACAGGAUUAGAUACCCUGGUAGUCCACGCCCUAAACGAUGUCUACUAGUUGUCGGGUUUUAAUUAACUUGGUAACGCAGCUAACGCGUGAAGUAGACCGCCUGGGGAGUACGGUCGCAAGAUUAAAACUCAAAAGGAUUGACGGNNGAGAGNGCGAGAGACGACGAGGAGAG
RNAcentral lists this ribosomal RNA (613 nucleotides) under uncultured bacterium. Its description in RNAcentral is "bacterial SSU rRNA". It matches the Rfam family "Bacterial small subunit ribosomal RNA", at positions 338 to 944 of the family's 1533-position model. The record is from RNAcentral.